Molecule: ribosomal RNA, 373 nt
Filed under: uncultured organism
Description: bacterial SSU rRNA
Rfam family: Bacterial small subunit ribosomal RNA
Source: RNAcentral
CGUAGGGGCCUAGCGUUGUCCGGAUUUAUUGGGCGUAAAGAGCUCGUAGGCGGCACGGUUAGUCAGGUGUGAAAUCUCCACGCUCAACGUGGAGGGGUCACCUGAUACUGCCGAGCUCGAGUCCGGUAGGGGAGUGUGGAAUUCCCGGUGUAGCGGUGAAAUGCGCAGAUAUCGGGAGGAACACCCGUAGCGAAGGCGGCACUCUGGGCCGGUACUGACGCUGAGGAGCGAAAGCGUGGGGAGCAAACAGGAUUAGAUACCCUGGUAGUCCACGCCGUAAACGUUGGGCACUAGGUGUGGGACUCUAUCGACGGGUUCCGUGCCGUAGCUAACGCAUUAAGUGCCCCGCCUGGGGAGUACGGCCGCAAGGCUA